RNAcentral lists this ribosomal RNA (423 nucleotides) under uncultured bacterium. RNAcentral's name for it is "partial 16S ribosomal RNA". It matches the Rfam family "Bacterial small subunit ribosomal RNA", at positions 359 to 774 of the family's 1533-position model. The record is from RNAcentral.
GAAUAUUGGACAAUGGGCGAAAGCCUGAUCCAGCCAUGCCGCGUGUGUGAAGAAGGUCUUCGGAUUGUAAAGCACUUUAAGUGGGGAGGAAGGGCAGUAAGCGAAUACCUUGCUGUUUUGACGUUACCUACCGAAUAAGAACCGUCUAACUCUGUCACAGCAGCCGCGGGCAUACGGAGGGUGCAAGCGUUAAUCGGAAGUACGGGGCGUAAAGCGCGCGUAGUGGUGUCGUUAAGUGGGAUGUGAAAUCCCCGGGCUCAACCUGGGAACUGCAUCCAAAACUGGCGAGCUAGAGUAGGGCAGAGGGUGGUGGAAUUUCCUGUGUAGCGGUGAAAUGCGUAGAUAUAGGAAGGAACACCAGUGGCGAAGGCGACCACCUGGGCUCAUACUGACACUGAGGUGCGAAAGCGUGGGGAGCAAACA